This 1038-nucleotide long non-coding RNA is filed under the name Brassica napus (rape). RNAcentral describes it as "long non-coding RNA (BNAP_LNC002881)". The record is from RNAcentral. Lineage: Eukaryota; Viridiplantae; Streptophyta; Magnoliopsida; Brassicales; Brassicaceae.
GAUGAAAGAUGAGAGAGGGAGAUGAACGUAUAGCUGUCGGCCACGAAGCAGGCUGUCACUUCUCUCUCAUGAAAACAUUGGGAAUUGCUCUUUGCUUCUCUCUCUAAAGCCCUUAAAUCUCGGGGGAGUUAUGUAAGAACAUCUACUAGGCUUCUGCAUUUUCACCUGCCCAAAUUACUUUCCAUUUCGCUUCAAGAUAUUUAUGAUAAAAAAAUCUAAUGCCUAUAUGUAUACUCUACGACUACGUGAUUAUUAAUUUACCAAAAGAGAAGUCACGAGAUAGUGUAUAGAUAAAGAAAAAGAGAGAGAGAGAAGAGUAUUUAUAGUUUUCUAUAUACUUUUCUUUGCAAAAAAACUUGUUAUAGUUAGUAACUAGUUAGAUCAUGUAAUAUUUUGUUCUUUGCUUAUUUCAUGAAUAUAUUUAUCUAAGGUAUUUCAUUAGUUCACACAACAAAAUUUUGAUAUUACAAAUCACUAAUGACAUCCCCGAUCCGAGAAGUUUGUCCUAAUAAGCUAGAUAAUAAAAUUCAACGAAACUGGUCCUAUUAAUCUAUUGCCUAUUGGGUUCAUUGAAAAGGACAAAAUUGGUUAUCACGUCUAUAUGUUGACAAAUUUAUUCAAAUAUAUACAUACGUACAUGUACCUCUAUCUGUAUGUGAAUGUGGUGUGAAGAUAAGGAAGAGCAGGUAAAUGAUUCAGAGGUAUGGGGGUUUGCUUGAAGUCGGAGAUAUCUUUUAAAUAAUUUGUUAAGCUCUUCGUGCUUCCCUAAAAAGCACCCACAGAUUUUAGGUGUACUUCCCAAAUACUUGUGACUUUAUUUUUGUUUAUCAGUAUAGUUAAUUACUUUUAUACGACUACAUAAAAAAGUUAACAAAAAAACGACUACAUAAAAACAAUAUUUUCAAUCAAAAACGUAUUGUGUAAUAAAAAUAUUGUUUUAUGUAGUCGUAUAUAAUACAAAAAUAUUAUACAAUUAUUAGUGUGUAUAGUACAUGAACUUAUACAGAACCACCAAAUCAAACAAAUAAAAUAGAUCUU